Molecule: ribosomal RNA, 466 nt
Filed under: bacterium HGOT
Lineage: Bacteria
Description: bacterial SSU rRNA
Rfam family: Bacterial small subunit ribosomal RNA
Source: RNAcentral
UGCAGUCGAGCGGAUGAUGGGGAGCUUGCUCCUUGAUUUAGCGGCGGACGGGUGAGUAAUGCCUAGGAAUCUGCCUGGUAGUGGGGGAUAACGUUCCGAAAGGAACGCUAAUACCGCGUACGUCCUACGGGAGAAAGCAGGGGACCUUCGGGCCUUGCGCUAUCAGAUGAGCCUAGGUCGGAUUAGCUAGUUGGUGAGGUAAUGGCUCACCAAGGCGACGAUCCGUAACUGGUCUGAGAGGAUGAUCAGUCACACUGGAACUGAGACACGGUCCAGACUCCUACGGGAGGCAGCAGUGGGGAAUAUUGGACAAUGGGCGAAAGCCUGAUCCAGCCAUGCCGCGUGUGUGAAGAAGGUCUUCGGAUUGUAAAGCACUUUAAGUUGGGAGGAAGGGCAGUAAGUUAAUACCUUGCUGUUUUGACGUUACCGACAGAAUAAGCACCGGCUAACUUCGUGCCAGCAGCCG